This 489-nucleotide ribosomal RNA is filed under the name uncultured bacterium. RNAcentral describes it as "bacterial SSU rRNA". It matches the Rfam family "Bacterial small subunit ribosomal RNA", at positions 23 to 507 of the family's 1533-position model. The record is from RNAcentral.
CUCAGAUUGAACGCUGGCGGAAUGCUUUACACAUGCAAGUCGAGCGGCAGCGCGGGGGCAACCCUGGCGGCGAGCGGCGAACGGGUGAGUAACAUAUCGGAACGUACCCCGUCGUGGGGGAUAACACAGCGAAAGCUGUGCUAAUACCGCAUACGACCUGAGGGUGAAAGCGGGGGAUCGCAAGACCUCGCGCGAUGGGAGCGGCCGAUAUCGGAUUAGCUUGUUGGUGAGGUAAAGGCUCACCAAGGCGACGAUCCGUAGCUGGUCUGAGAGGACGACCAGCCACACUGGAACUGAGACACGGUCCAGACUCCUACGGGAGGCAGCAGUGGGGAAUAUUGGACAAUGGGCGCAAGCCUGAUCCAGCAAUGCCGCGUGUGUGAAGAAGGCCUUCGGGUUGUAAAGCACUUUUAUCAGGAACGAAAAGCGUUGGAUUAAUACUCUGACGUGCUGACGGUACCUGAGGAAUAAGCACCGGCUAACUUCGUG